Long non-coding RNA from Mytilus californianus (California mussel), 1793 nucleotides. RefSeq lists it as uncharacterized. NCBI's taxonomy places the organism in Eukaryota, Metazoa, Mollusca, Bivalvia, Mytilida, Mytilidae. The record is from RefSeq and is a predicted model, not a curated record. The transcript has 2 exons.
AGGGGCCAAAAACUAGCAUUUUUCUAGUUUCCAGACAAUAACUUGUGUUCAAGUGUAUGGAUCUCUCUGAAAUUGUACUGCAAGGUACCAUACCACAAAGGGAAGGCUGGGAUUGAUUUUGGGGGUAAUUGCUUCAAAAUUUGAGGAAUUGGGGGCCGAAAAGGGGCAAAAAACAAGCAUUUUUAUACGACCGCAAAAUUUUUUUUGGGAUCGUAUAAUGGUAUGAUGUUGUCGUCGUCGUCCGAAGACACAUUGGUUUCCGGACAAUAACUUUAGUUUAAGUGAAUGGAUCUUUAUGAAAUUUUUUAAGAAGGUUCAAUACCACAAAAGGAAGGUUGGGAUUGAUUUUGGGGAUGAUGGUCCCAACCGUUUAGGAAUUAGGGGCCCAAAAAGGGGCCCAAAACAAGCAUUUUUCUAGUUUCAGGAUAAUAACUUGUGUAUAAGUAUUUCAAUUGCUCUGAAAUUGUACCACAAUGUUUAAUACCACAAGUAGAAGGUUGGGAUUCAUUUUAGGGGUUAUGGGGCCAACAGUUUAGGAAUUAAGGGCCAAAAAGGGGCCAAAAACAAGCAUUUUUCUAGUUUCCAGACAAUAACUUGUGUGUAAGUGUAUGGAUCUCUCUGACAUUGUACCACAAUGUUCCAUAUGACAAAGGGAAUGCUGGGAUUGAUUUUGGGGGUAAUUGCCUCAAAAUUUUAGGAAUUAGGGGCCAAAAAGGGGCAAAAAACAAGCAUUUUUAUACGACCGCAAAAAUUUUUUGGGGAUCGUAUAAUGGUAUGAUGUUGUCGUCGUCGUCCGAAGACACAUUGGUUUCCGGACAAUAACUUUAGUUUAAGUGAAUGGAUCUUUAUGAAAUUUUUUAAGAAGGUUCAAUACCACAAAAGGAAGGUUGGGAUUGAUUUUGGGGAUGAUGGUCCCAACCGUUUAGGAAUUAGGGGCCCAAAAAGGGGCCCAAAACAAGCAUUUUUCUAGUUUCAGGAUAAUAACUUGUGUAUAAGUAUUUCGAUUGCUCUGAAAUUGUACCACAAUGUUUAAUACCACAAGUAGAAGGUUGGGAUUCAUUUUAGGGGUUAUGGGGCCAACAGUUUAGGAAUUAAGGGCCAAAAAGGGGCCAAAAACAAGCAUUUUUCUAGUUUCCAGACAAUAACUUGUGUGUAAGUGUAUGGAUCUCUCUGACAUUGUACCACAAGGUUCCAUAUAACAAAGGGAAGGCUGGGAUUGAGUUUGGGGGUAAUUGCCUCAAAAUUUUAGGAAUUAGGGGCCAAAAAAGGGGCAAAAAACAAGCAAUUUUCUAGUUUCAUGACAAUAACUUGUGUGUAAGUGUAUGGAUCUUUCUGAAAUUGUACUACUAGGUUCCAUAUCACAAAGGGAAAGCUGGAGUUGAGUUUGGGGGUAAUUGCCCAAAACGUUUAGGGAUAAGGGGCCAAAAAUUAGCAUUUUUCUAGUUUCCAGACAAUAACUUGUGUUCAAGUGUAUGGAUCUCUCUGAAAUUGUAUUGCAAGGUACCAUACCACAAAGGGAAGGCUGGGAUUGAUUUUGGGGGUAAUUGCUUCAAAAUUUUAGGAAUUAGGGGCCAAAAAGGGGCAAAAAACAAGCAUUUUUAUACAACCGCAAAAAUUUUUUUGGGAUCGUAUAAUGGUAUGAUGUUGUCGUCGUCGUCUGAAGACACAUUGGUUUCCAAACAAUAACUUUAGUUUAAGUGAAUGGAUCUUUAUGAAAUUGUUUAAGAAGGUUCAAUACCACAAAAGGAAGGUUGGGAUUGAUUUUGGGGAUGAUGGUCCCAACCGUUUAGGAA